Homo sapiens (human) is the source of this 916-nucleotide long non-coding RNA. Ensembl annotates it as long intergenic non-protein coding RNA 2730. NCBI's taxonomy places the organism in Eukaryota, Metazoa, Chordata, Mammalia, Primates, Hominidae. The record is from Ensembl.
GGAAACGGUGUUCCCAGCUGGCUGCCAUGGCAACAGCAGGCUUCGGAGCCAUUCAUCUCGGUCUGGACAGCUUCCCCUACUCGCACUAGCGCUUUGUCUCCCUAAGUGGCUAACUGAGGUGUGAAAGGGUCUGUGAUGAGGAAAUGGAGGCUUCAAGGUCAAACCCCUUGCCCAGAGACAUGCAGCAGAAAGUGAUGAAGCUGAGAUUUGAACUUGCACCUGUCUGCCUGCAAAUCCCAUCUCUUCCUGCUGUGCCAGAGACAGCAGAAGGGCCCACGGCUGUGUAGAUGUGGCCUAUUAGCCUCUCAAGUCUAGAGCAAGCCCCUCAGUGUGGGGCCCCUCCCUAGCCGCACUUCCUGCCACACCUGUCCUUCAAGCAGCCGCCUUUCUUUAGAACCCCACGUCUACUGUGGUGAUCACUCUGCAUAGCUGCUUUAGAAACAUAUGAAGAUAACAGAAGGAUCUCAUCUGCAACCCAGAGCUCUCUGUGCCUGGUGGUGACUCCCAAGAAGCUCCCAUAAGGAAGAGGUCCCUCAAAGAACACACUGAACACAGUGGACCCUCUGCUGCCAAAACAGGCAGGGAAGAAGUCAAGCUGCUCCAGACAUCAGCACUCCACUUCACAAACUCACCACCCAUGCUCUCUCCUGUGGGGACCUCAGCUUUGCACCUGGAUGUGCCAACCUGGCUCCUGCAUUUCCAUACCCCAACACAAGAGUCUCAAUGCAAGGGUUGUAACAUGCCAGCAGUGUCUGUACAAGCAAACGAUGGCACUCGUAGCAUAUGGAGGGCGUGGGGCAGUGGAGCUGUGCCUUCCCCUCUCCUGAGGCCCCUGGGCUUCGAGCAGUCUUCACGCUCCUGAGUUCUUUCUCAGAAUUCCCUCCUAAACCUCUUAGCGAGUAAAUGCUGCUUGCCA